Molecule: transfer RNA, 73 nt
Filed under: Streptomyces sp. H27-H5
Lineage: Bacteria; Bacillati; Actinomycetota; Actinomycetes; Kitasatosporales; Streptomycetaceae
Description: tRNA-Asn
Rfam family: tRNA
About the family: Transfer RNA (tRNA) molecules are approximately 80 nucleotides in length. Their secondary structure includes four short double-helical elements and three loops (D, anti-codon, and T loops).
Source: RNAcentral
UGGCAUGUAGCUCAGAAGGCAGAGCAGAGGACUGUUAAUCCUCGUGUCGCAGGUUCGAACCCUGCCAUGCCAG